UGGGGAAUAUUGGACAAUGGGCGAAAGCCUGAUCCAGCCAUGCCGCGUGUGUGAAGAAGGUCUUCGGAUUGUAAAGCACUUUAAGUUGGGAGGAAGGGCAUUAACCUAAUACGUUAGUGUUUUGACGUUACCGACAGAAUAAGCACCGGCUAACUCUGUGCCAGCAGCCGCGGUAAUACAGAGGGUGCAAGCGUUAAUCGGAAUUACUGGGCAUAAAGCGCGCGUAGGUGGUUUGUUAAGGUGGAUGUGAAAUCCCCGGGCUCAACCUGGGAACUGCAUUCAAAACUGACUGACUAGAGUAUGGUAGAGGGUGGUGGAAUUUCCUGUGUAGCGGUGAAAUGCGUAGAUAUAGGAAGGAACACCAGUGGCGAAGGCGACCACCUGGACUAAUACUGACACUGAGGUGCGAAAGCGUGGGGAGCAAACA
Molecule: ribosomal RNA, 427 nt
Filed under: uncultured bacterium
Lineage: Bacteria
Description: partial 16S ribosomal RNA
Rfam family: Bacterial small subunit ribosomal RNA
Source: RNAcentral